GAACGAACGCUGGCGGCAGGCUUACCACAUGCAAGUCGAACGCCCCGCAAGGGGAGUGGCAGACGGGUGAGUAACGCGUGGGAAUCUACCCAUCCCUACGGAAUAACGCAUGGAAACGUGUGCUAAUACCGUAUACGCCCUACGGGGGAAAGAUUUAUCGGGGAUGGAUGAGCCCGCGUUGGAUUAGCUAGUUGGUGGGGUAAAGGCCUACCAAGGCGACGAUCCAUAGCUGGUCUGAGAGGAUGAUCAGCCACAUUGGGACUGAGACACGGCCCAAACUCCUACGGGAGGCAGCAGUGGGGAAUAUUGGACAAUGGGCGCAAGCCUGAUCCAGCCAUGCCGCGUGAGUGAUGAAGGCCUUAGGGUUGUAAAGCUCUUUCACCGGAGAAGAUAAUGACGGUAUCCGGAGAAGAAGCCCCGGCUAACUUCGUG
This 432-nucleotide ribosomal RNA is filed under the name uncultured bacterium. RNAcentral describes it as "partial 16S ribosomal RNA". It matches the Rfam family "Bacterial small subunit ribosomal RNA", at positions 27 to 507 of the family's 1533-position model. The record is from RNAcentral.